AGCGAUCUGCUCUUUACGACAGGACUUCAAUUCCUCGGGCCUUACUGAAUUCUAAGGGAGCUAUCCCUGCCUUAGCUCGUGGGCUUUGGCAAACGGCACCCACCUACAUUGUAGGUUCCUAGGAUUUCACAACGUCCAUCGAUUGUAAGCGGAUCGCAC
This 159-nucleotide non-coding RNA is filed under the name Rhizobiaceae bacterium. RNAcentral's name for it is "6S RNA". It matches the Rfam family "6S / SsrS RNA". Rfam says of the family: E. coli 6S RNA was the first non coding RNA to be sequenced, but its function was unknown until recently. It consists of 184 nucleotides that fold into an extended hairpin structure with a large single-stranded internal bulge. Lineage: Bacteria; Pseudomonadati; Pseudomonadota; Alphaproteobacteria; Hyphomicrobiales; Rhizobiaceae. The record is from RNAcentral.